Molecule: small RNA, 5236 nt
Filed under: Arabidopsis thaliana (thale cress)
Lineage: Eukaryota; Viridiplantae; Streptophyta; Magnoliopsida; Brassicales; Brassicaceae
Description: ATSL275970
Source: RNAcentral
GAGAAGCUUUGUAACGUCUAAAGCUAGCGUUUCACCAGAGGGAUUUAAUAGUUAACGACUGGUUUGUAGUUUAGGGUUUUGUCUUUGAGACUGUUUGUUUCUGUUUUUCAUGUCCAGUUUGCUUCAAGGUUGCUUUUGGUUGUGAUUUAUUGUAGGACGUUUCUGGACUGUUUCAGACGCAAGAAAUGUCUCUCCUGGGUUUAAUUGUUGUUAGAAUCAAUUUGUUAAGGUGAAUGCGUGACCAUGAGCUUAUCUAAGCGAUCGGAUUGUGUGAUUUGUUUUGUGUGAUGGUAUGUAGGUGUGGUGAAUGUGUUUUUGGGUGAAUUGUUUAAUGACUGGUUUGUUUAUGAUGUAUUUGUGAUUAUACCCUUUUAAUUGCUUUUGUGUAUAGUUCGUAAAUGGGAGGAUCGCCUCACUAAGUAUUUGUGAUAAUACUUACGCAUCUCUUUCUUUUUGGUGCAGGUAAAGAUAAAGUGUGAUUGUGGAAUCAUGGCAAGGAAGAGAGGAUGAUCUAGGAACUCGUUUGGUUUAUUUUUGUGUUUUGGUUAUUGGAACCGGUUAGGGUUGUGUUAUAAUUGUUAGUUAUUCUUGGUUUUGUUGGUUGAAUUAUUUAUGUACUCAUAAAAUAGUAUUUUUGACUUGCGGUUUAAAUGUUGCUUUAUUGGUUGGUUUAAUUAAGUAUUUAUGGGAAUAUUUAAUUAUGUUUUUUAAAAAAAUGGUCGGGUUGUUUCAAUUUGGUAUCAGAGCGAUCACGGUUCUAGGAUGUGUAGAAAAAAUUAACUGAUGAAUUAUUUUCCUGAUGAUUGAUGUGAGAUGAGCUAGGGUGUUAGCAUACUGAGGAUUGAUUAUGGAGUGUUUAGUCAAUUGUGUGUUGUUGGAGUCCUAGCAUCAUCUUCUCCGAGCCUUAAAUGAUAUUCCACUGUAAGUUGUUUGUGAUAUAUUCGUUUAUUCUAGUUUCUUAGCCUUUUGUUCUUGAGUAGCGCAGAUGGUUAGAGGAGCUAAGUUCGUGGUCGUGGUCGUGGUCGCGGUAGAGGACGAGUCCUCGAGGGUACCAGCGAGAGUGAUGGCUACAGUGCUACAGUUGCGCAGAGUGUGGGUUCGCAGCCUGAGUUUGUGGAGCCCGGGGCUGGGGACGGUCUCGAUGCCGAUAUAGCUGGUGCAGCCGGAGUGGGGACUGGUGGAGCUGGUGUCGGUGCCGGUGUGUAUGUCGUUGGUGCUGAGGACCCAGGAGUGAUGGGUGCCGCAGCCGGAGGAGCACAGGUUCCAGAAGUUGGUUUGGCGGGCCUGCUGAGGCAGUUGUUGGAGAGGUUACCAGGUGUGGUACCAGUGCAGGCUCCAGUUACGCCACGAGUGGCGAAGGUGCAGCAGAGGGCUGCGGUUGCUGAGGAGGUUCCAUCUUAUUUGAGGACAAUCGAGCAGUUGUAGAGGAUUGGCACCGAGUAUUUUUCUGCUGGUACUAGUCCUGAGGAGGCUGACAGUUGGCGGUCGCAGGUUGAGCGGAAUUUCGGUUCGAACAGAUGUCCGAUGGAGUAUCGGGUGGAUUUGGCAGUGCAUUUUAGAGGGAGAUGCAUAUCUAUGGUGGCGGAGUGUGACUGCCAGGAGGAGGCAGGCGGAUAUGUCUUGGGAAGAUUUCGUGACUGAGUUUAAUGCCAAUUACUUUCCUCAGGAGGCGCUCGACCGUAUGGAGACGCGUUUUCUUGAGUUGACAAAGGGUGAGCGGUCGGUUCGAGAGUAUGAUCGAAAGUUUAACCGACUCUUGGUGUCUGCGGGUCGGGGCAUGAAAGAUGACUAGGCCCAGAUGAUGAAGUUCUUGAGGGGACUUCGACCAGAUUUGAGGGUGCGGUGUAGAGUAUCGCAAUACACCACGAAAGCAGCACUGGUGGAGACGGCUGCUGAGGUAGAGGAGGACCUUCAGAGGCAGGUGGUGGCAGUGAUUCCCGCGGUACAGCCGAAGAAGACUCAACAUCAGGUGGCACCUAGCAAGGGCGGCAAGCCUGCGUAGGGGCAGAAGAGGAGGUGAGAUCAUCCUUCCAGAGCCGGACAGGGUGGUCGUGCAGGAUGUUUUUCUUGUGGGAGCCUUGACCACAAGGUAGCGGAUUGCACGCAGCGAGCUGAGACGAGGGAGUGCUACCACUACAGGGAGAGAGGACAUCUCAUGCCGAAUUAUCCUAAGUUGCAGCGGAUGGCAGUGGCGAGAGUACAGCCGGCAGGGAGCGCAGGUGCAACAGGGAGUGCAGCAAAAUGUGCAGCAGUUAGCACAUAUUGCAGCGGCACCGCAAGGUUACACUACGCGUGAGAUAGGCGGUACCAGCAAUAGAGCGAUCACUGUUAUGAUUUCUAAGACUCAGACUUUGUGAAUUAUUUCUGUUGUUUUUGGAUAUCAUUGUUUUGUGAUGAAUGUUAGGGUUCUUAACACAUGAGGUUUGUGUAGGGACCUUAUUACUGGGCGGUGUAGAGGCCCAUGUGUUGUUUGACUCUGGAGCAUCGCAUUGCUUCAUUACCCUGGAGAGUGCCUCGCGCGGCAACAUCCGUGGGGAUCCUGGUGAGCAGUUUGGAGCCGUCAAGGUUGCUGGAGGGCAGUUUCUAGCGGUUCUGGGGUGAGCUAAGGGUGUGGAUAUUCAAAUUGCAGGGGAGUCGAUGCCGACAGAUUUGAUUAGCAGUAUUGUAAAGUUGUAUGAUGUUAUUGUGGGAAUGGAUUGGUUGGAUCAUUACAGAGUACAUCUUAACUGGCACCGUGGGAGAGUUUCUUUUGAGCGGCCAGAGGGGAGGUUGGUUUAUUAGGGAAUAAGACAUACCUCAGGGAGUCUCGUCAUCUCAGCAGUGCAGGCAGAGAAAAUGAUCGAGAAGGGCUGCAAGGCUUACCUGGUGAUGAUAUCUAUGCCGGAGUCUGUGGGGCAUGUAGCAGUGAGCGACAUUCGGGUUGUUCAGGAGUUCGAGGAUGUGUUUCAAUCGUUGUAGGGAUUACCACCAUCACGGUCUGAUCCUUUCACGAUUGAAUUGGAACUAGGGACAGCGCCGUUGUCUAAGGCACCCUACAGGAUGGCUCCAGUGUUGAGCCUGAAGGAGAUGUUGACGAGUACACCAGUGUUAGCAUUGCUAGAGCAUGGAAAGCCUUACAUAGUGUAUACUGAUGCCUCGAGAGUUGGUUUGGGUUGUGUUUUGAUGCAGCGUGGGAAGGUUAUUACCUAUGCAUUGCGGCAGUUGAGGAAGCAUGAGGACAACUAUCCUACUCACGAUUUGGAGAUGGUUGCAGUAAUCUUUGCCUUGAAGAUUUGGAGUUUUAUCUUUAUGGCGGGAAAAUGCAGGUGUUCACGGAUCAUAAGAGUCUAAAGUAUAUCUUCACUUAUCCAGAGCUGAACCUGAGGUAGAAGCGAUAGAUGGAGCUGGUGGCUGAUUAUGAUCUAGAGAUAGCCUAGCAUCCUCGUAAGGCUAAUGUGGUUGCAGACGCGUUGAGCCGUAAGCGCGUGGGUGUGGCACCAGGGCAGAGUGUUGAGGCCUUGGUGAAUGAGAUUGGUGCUUUGCAGUUGUGUGUUGUGGUAGGGGAGCCAUUGGGAUUCGAAGCUGUGGAUCGAGCAGAUCUUCUGAGUAGAAUGCGGUUGGCUCAGGAGAAGGAUGAGGGGUUGAUUGCGGCUUCUAAGGCAGAGGGCUCUAAGUAUCAGUUUGCAGCUAAUGGGACUAUCCUUGUGCAUGGGCGAGUUUGUGUGCCUAAGGAUGAGGAGUUGAGACGCGAGAUCUUGAGUGAGGCUCAUGCAAGCAUGUUUUCCAUUCAUCCAGGAGCGACUAAGAUGUACCGAGACCUCAAGCGGUACUAUCAGUGGGUCGAGAUGAAGAGGGAUGUAGCUAAUUGGGUCGUAGAGUGCGAUGUUUGCCAGUUAGUUAAGGCUGAGCAUCAGAUGCCGGGUGAGUUUACCCAUCCCUGAGUGGAAGUGGGAUUUUAUCACGAUGGAUUUUGUGGUUGGGUUGCCUGUGUCUCGAACCAAAGAUGCUAUUUGGGUGAUCGUUGACCGUCUGACUAAGUCAGCUUAUUUUCUGGCCAUCAGAAAAAUAGAUGGAGCGGCUGAAUUGGCUAAGAAAUAUGUGAGCGAGAUCGUGAAGUUGCAUGGAGUACAUGUGAGUAUUGUGUUAGACAUGGACUCUAAGUUUACAUUUGGGUUUUGGAGAGCCUUCAGGCAGAGAUGGGCACUAAGGUGCAGAUGAGCACGACUUAUCAUCCUCAGACAGAUGGGCAAUCUAAGAGGACUAUCCAGACGCUUGAGGAUAUGUUGCGGAUGUGUGUCUUGGAUUGGGGAGGUCAUUGGACGGAUCACUUGAGUCUGGUAGAGUUUGCUUAUAACAACAGCUAUCACGCGAGUAUUGGUAUGGCUCCUUUCGAGGCGUUAUAUGGGAGGCCAUGCAGGACACCGUUAUGCUGGACCCAAGUGGGGGAGAGGAGCAUAUAUGGUGCAGAUUAUGUUCAGGAGACCACAGAGAGGAUCCAGGUUCUUAAGCUGAACAUGAAGGAAGCUCAGGAUCGACAGUGGAGUUAUGCUGACAAGAGGAGGAGAGACCUUGAGUUUGAGGUUGGGGACAAAGUGUAUCUCAAGAUGGCCAUGUUGCGAGGUCCAAACAGGUCUAUCUCAGAGACUAAGUUGAGUCUGAGGUACAUGGGUCGUUCAGGAUUGUUGAGAGGGUGGGACCAGGGGCAUACAGGUUAGAGUUGCCAGAUGUUAUGCGUGCGUUUCACAAGGUCUUUCAUGUGUCGAUUCUGAGGAAGUGUCUUCACAAGGAUGAUGAGGUGUUGGCUAAGAUUUUAGAGGAUCUUCAGCCCAACAUGACUUUGAAGGCGAGACCAGUGAGGGUUCUCGAGAAGAGGAUCAAGGAACUUCGGCGGAAGAAGAUUCCUUUGAUCAAAGUCCUGUGGGACUGCGAUGGUGUGACAGAGGAGACUUGGGAGCCAGAGGCGAGGAUGAAGGCAAGGUUCAAGAAGUGGUUCGAGAAGCAGGUUACUGCAUGAAUUUGCCUUUCCUUGGUUUCCAGUUUCAGUGUUGUUGAGUUUUUGAGCUUUUGAGUUGUUGUUCUUAUUUCUCUUUCAUUUUUAUUUUCGUUUGGAGUUGUAACGAUCAUGACAUUUGAUGAUUUAUAAGAUGAGUAUUUGUUUUCUUAGAUUUGACUUGAGUUGUCUUAUUUAAGAAUGUGUUGUGCGGUUUCCAAGAAUGGAAAGUUUUCCAUAAAGGACUUGUCUAUUUUUGGAAAGGUU